RNAcentral lists this ribosomal RNA (1059 nucleotides) under Tricholomataceae sp.LM183. RNAcentral's name for it is "bacterial SSU rRNA". The stretch from base 1 to 356 matches the Rfam family "Eukaryotic small subunit ribosomal RNA", at positions 1478 to 1831 of the family's 1831-position model. The record is from RNAcentral. Lineage: Eukaryota; Fungi; Basidiomycota; Agaricomycetes; Agaricales; Tricholomataceae.
AGUUCUGGGCCGCACGCGCGCUACACUGACAGAGCCAGCGAGUUUUUUUCCUUGGCCGGAAGGUCUGGGUAAUCUUGUGAAACUCUGUCGUGCUGGGGAUAGAGCAUUGCAAUUAUUGCUCUUCAACGAGGAAUUCCUAGUAAGCGUGAGUCAUCAGCUCGCGUUGAUUACGUCCCUGCCCUUUGUACACACCGCCCGUCGCUACUACCGAUUGAAUGGCUUAGUGAGGUCUUGAGAUUGGCUUCGGGGAGCCGGCAACGGCACCCUGUCGCUGAGAACUUGAUCAAACUUGGUCAUUUAGAGGAAGUAAAAGUCGUAACAAGGUUUCCGUAGGUGAACCUGCGGAAGGAUCAUUAACGAGUUGAACGGGGUUGUAGCUGGCCUUCACGGGCAUGUGCACACCUCACUCAUCCACUCUACACCUGUGCACUUACUGUGGGUUUCGAGAGGCCGCGCUUGCGUGGUUGAUCGGGCUCACGUCUAUUACAAACUCUUCAGUAUCAGAAUGUGUAUCGCGAUGUAACGCAUCUAUAUACAACUUUCAGCAACGGAUCUCUUGGCUCUCGCAUCGAUGAAGAACGCAGCGAAAUGCGAUAAGUAAUGUGAAUUGCAGAAUUCAGUGAAUCAUCGAAUCUUUGAACGCACCUUGCGCUCCUUGGUAUUCCGAGGAGCAUGCCUGUUUGAAUGUCGUGUAAUUCUCAACCUAUAAAUCCUUGUGGUUUUUAGGCUUGGACUUGGAGGCUUUUGCUGGCUUUACCGUCGGCUCCUCUUAAACGCAUUAACUUGGAUUCCUUGCGGAUCGGCUCUCAGUGUGGAUAAUUAUCUGCCCUGUGGACCGUGAAACGUUUGGCGAGCUUCUAACCGUCUCUUCGAGACAAACACUUUUGACAUCUGGACCUCCAAUCAGGGGAGGGACUACCCCCCCUGGAACUUUAAGCCAUUUUCAAUUAAACCGGGGGGGAAAAAAAAAACUUAACCAGGGGAUUUCCCCCUAAAUAAACCUGCCCAAAUGAAAACCGGGGAAAAAAACUCCCAAAAUUUUAAAAAUCUGGGGGGGGG